ACGAGUUAGGGUCCCUCCGGCCCGACCUCCCAACCCUAUGUUUUUUCAACCACUGUUGCUUUGGCGAGCCCGCCCACUAGGGGCCGCCGGGGGACCAGUAUUGUUCCCUGGCCUGUGCUUGCCGAUAGCCUAAUUUUGAAAAAUUCUUUAACUAAACGUGUCUUAUCUAAGUAUUAAAAUUUAAUUAAAGUA
This 192-nucleotide unclassified non-coding RNA is filed under the name uncultured Chaetothyriales. Its description in RNAcentral is "sequence contains ITS1". Lineage: Eukaryota; Fungi; Ascomycota; Eurotiomycetes; Chaetothyriales. The record is from RNAcentral.